GGAAUUUUGGACAAUGGGCGAAAGCCUGAUCCAGCAACUCUGCGUGGAGGACGAAGUCUCUAGGGAUGUAAACUCCUUUUCUAUGGGACGAAAACCCUCACGGGACUGACGGUACCAUAGGACUAAGCCACGGCUCACUACGUGCCCGCAGCCGCGGUAAGACGUAGGUGGCGAGCGUUAUUCGGAAUCACUAGGCGUAAAGCGCGUGUAGGCGGGUGUCUAAGUCCGUAGUGAAAUCUCACGGCUCAACCGUGAGCGGCCUGCGGAAACUGGACGCCUUGAGUUGGGCAGGGGGAGCUGGAAUUCCCAGUGUAGCGGUGAAAUGCGCAGAUAUUGGGAAGAACACCGGUGGCGAAGGCGAGCUCCUGGGCCUUGACUGACGCUGAGACGCGAAAGCUAGGGUAGCA
This 407-nucleotide ribosomal RNA is filed under the name uncultured bacterium. RNAcentral's name for it is "bacterial SSU rRNA". It matches the Rfam family "Bacterial small subunit ribosomal RNA", at positions 358 to 770 of the family's 1533-position model. The record is from RNAcentral.